AGACGCUAUUCCCUAGGAUUAACCCAUGCAUGUUUUUGACAUUUGAAAAAUGGACUGCUCAGUAAUACUCACUUUAUUUUAUGUAAAUUUUUAAUUAACUACGUUAAAGUGUAGAUAAGAUGUUUACAGUAAGAGUGAGACCUAUCAGCUAGUUGUUAAGGUAAUGGCUUAACAAGGCUGUGACGGGUAACGGUAUUACUUUGUAAUAUUCCGGAGAAGGAGCCUGAGAGACGGCUACUAAGUCUAAGGAUUGCAGCAGGGGCGAAACUUGACCUAUGGAUUUUAUCUGAGGCAGUUAUGGGAAGUAAUAUUAUAUUGUUUCAUAUUUUAAAAGUAUAUGAGGUGAUUAAUUGGAGGGCAAAUCAAGUGCCAGCAGCCGCGGUAAUACUUGUUCCAAGAGUGUGUAUGAUGAUUGAUGCAGUUAAAAAGUCCGUAGUUUAUUUUUUAAGAAGCAAUAUGAGGUGUACUGUAUAGUUGGGAGAAAGAUGAAAUGUGACGACCCUGACAGGACGAAC
This 515-nucleotide ribosomal RNA is filed under the name Vairimorpha ceranae. RNAcentral describes it as "SSU rRNA". It matches the Rfam family "Microsporidia small subunit ribosomal RNA", at positions 25 to 593 of the family's 1311-position model. The record is from RNAcentral. Lineage: Eukaryota; Fungi; Microsporidia; Nosematidae.